Molecule: long non-coding RNA, 506 nt
Filed under: Anser brachyrhynchus (Pink-footed goose)
Lineage: Eukaryota; Metazoa; Chordata; Aves; Anseriformes; Anatidae
Description: lncRNA (ENSABRG00000009349.1)
Source: RNAcentral
GUAAAGAUUCAGGCUAUAUCUGUGCUUUAAAGUGGAGGAAAUAUCUAUAUGCAGACACCACAUUUCUUUUCUGUUAUCUACCACUUCUGGACUAGUUUCAUUUACAAGAGCACAGCAGCAAGAAGAAGGGAAUUAUAAAGACUGAGAUUUAAGCGAUGAAUUCCUGUGUCAGGAGAGCUGCCAGAGCUGUGCUGGGGCAGGAAGAAUGAUUAUUACUAGUAAUAGUAGAAAGCCUGCUGAAGGAUCCUUUUGUCCUACAGAGUGAAUGAAAUCAGAGCAAAAUGUUCCUUGCUCCCAGAAGGCUUAGAGUUAAAGGAGAAGAUGAGACAAUGGAGAGAUAGAAAGAAUGAAACAUCUACAGAGACAAGCUGAGGCUUUCCCUGGAAUAAAGCCUUGUCUGGAGGAGAAGGUGAGGUGCAGGAAUCAACAAAGGCAACAGUUUUCUUUGUGACUGCUUCUCAUGAACAGGCAGCAAGUUCAAAAUAAAUGACUGUGGCAGAAAUUCA